GCGUAAGCGCGCGUAGGCGGUUUUUUAAGUCUGAUGUGAAAGCCCACGGCUCAACCGUGGAGGGUCAUUGGAAACUGGAAAACUUGAGUGCAGAAGAGGAAAGUGGAAUUCCAUGUGUAGCGGUGAAAUGCGCAGAGAUAUGGAGGAACACCAGUGGCGAAGGCGACUUUCUGGUCUGUAACUGACGCUGAUGUGCGAAAGCGUGGGGAUCAAACAGGAUUAGAUACCCCGUAGUCCA
This 238-nucleotide ribosomal RNA is filed under the name Staphylococcus sp. Its description in RNAcentral is "partial 16S ribosomal RNA". It matches the Rfam family "Bacterial small subunit ribosomal RNA", at positions 563 to 797 of the family's 1533-position model. Lineage: Bacteria; Bacillati; Bacillota; Bacilli; Caryophanales; Staphylococcaceae. The record is from RNAcentral.